AUGAUUUUUUUCUCUCAUCCCAGUUCAGCACAAGGAAAAAAGAGAAUUGAAGUAAAAUAUUAUUAUUCUUCACCUUGUCUUGCUGCCUUUCUGCCUCUACUGCUUUCAUACUUUCAGGAAGUGCACCUAGCAGAAGCCUACCUGGGAAGGACGUACCAGAAGAUUUGUGUCUGGAGACCCCCUUCAUUGUUUGCUACAAGAGAUGUCCGGGAGUUAUGAGGUGGGAAAGCAUCUCUCUCACACAUCCCUAGGUUUUCCACUUCAUUUAUUCCGGUCUAGAAGAAAAGAACAGCAAAAGGACGACCAGGAUGUGAAUGAGAGAGCUCACCCUUCCUCAUUUGCGGGGCCCGGCCCAUAAAACUAAAGCAAGGAUGCGAUGAGUGGCUAAAGAGGAAGAUUUUCCCUCUCUCUCUCUUUCUCUCCCAGGACCCAGCCAAUGAGAUUGUGUCAACAUGAUAUUCAAAACUAGGAGGCACAGAGGUGAACAGGGGCUGCCUGCCUGGGCCCGACAAACAGCACUGGGGUUGACGAAGCACUUCUCUCUUUUCCUGGUCCAAAGAGCAGAUCACAUGACCAAUGAGACCUUUUCCAUCUAUCUGGCCCUGGAAGCCAUAGCGCUUGCUGCUUCUAAAAGAUCACCAGGAGAAGAGUGUUGAGCCUACAAGACAACAGUGAGGAGAUAAUCAGACAGAAGAGGAACUCUGUCUUUCUCUUCCCACCCCCCAGCUCUCCCUGAAAUAAAAGGACUGUAGUAAAAUGGUGUCCAGCAGAGCCAAAGAGUGAGAGUGAGGAGCUGCCCCCCUGAACCUGCUUGACAGGGGUGAGUAGAACCCCACAUUGUGUAUCUGUUCUCAGACAACAGAUGAUAGUACAAGAUCAGAUUGAGAAUUUUCUGUCUCCACAAUCAAGGAGCAAGCCUGCUGCUGGCUGCUGCAAAAAGAUAGCAAAGGGGAAGUAGGAACUUAAGUUUCAUUUUUCUUUCCCUGCCCAGCAGAGAGAUGACUGGUAUACGUGUUCAGGGAGGAUUUUCUCCUUUGCAAGGGCAGACCAAAAAGACUACAGGAAGGAGUUAAUGGGCUGCAAGAGGAAGAUUUUCUUUCUCCUCUUUCCUUCCCUUCAACUUCAUGACUUAAUAUUUCCCCAUCUUUUUUUCACAAACUUCUUAUUUGUAUCAUUUUGAAAGAACAAGAUACUUCAAGAACUGAAUCUCUUACAUAUGACAAAUUCUAGCAUUAACUGAAUUCUUGUUUAAGCUAUGGAAUAACUACAAAUUCAGUUCCAAACAACUAGGUCUUGCCACUUGCAGCUUAUUACGGUAAUUCGGAUGCUUUAAUAUUAAUCUCAUAAUCUAAUAGAUCCAUUGUUACAAUGGCAAACUUUUACUUUGUCUACCCAGAAAAUAGAAAUGUGCUAUGAAUUUUAGAAGCAGACAUGUGGUUAUAACAGCUUCAGCAGUGGUUUUAAGACCUACACCACUAUAAGUAGCCUAGUAGGUGGACAGAUUUCUUGCAUGGCAAAAUGAAUUAAGAAGAGUCCAACCUUAGUAUUUGCAAGGUAACCUCUCUACCUUAUGCCCUGGGAUAAAUAUUCACUAGCUUUAGAUCUCACUGACUGCUGGUGUUUUUCAUAAAACACCCAUUUAAGAUUGGUCCAAGGACACAGCAAACCUAAAAAUGAAAUUCAGAAAGAAUUUCUCCUCAAAAAGUAAAGUCUCAGCAAUUACAGUAGGUCUGGACACAAUUGUUAUCAAUAAAAUCACAUUACUGCAAUAAAUUGGUUUGCAAGUGAAAUUUAUCAGCCCUUCUUAAAAUCAUAUAAAAGAUCUUUACCUAAACAUGUACACAAGAUUUUUACUUAAGCAUUUCUUCCUAAAAGUGUUUCUUUCUUAAAAACUAGCUCAAAUUUUAUCCUGAUGUUCAAAUGAUAAUCACAAAACAAAAUGAAGUAAAUUAGCUGUAAACUUCUAAACUAAGAUCUCUCUUAUUCAACCUUAAAAUAAAAAUAAAUCUUGAAAAUUGGAAUUUUUCAAAACUAAGUUGGUAUAAAAUGGCUUUGAGUAUCAUAAAUGAAUCCCCAAAGUACAAUAAAAAAAAAUCAUCACAAAUUCCUAAAUAGCACCCUCCUUGAGUCAAAAGGUAUUUGUAACGGGGAGGAUAUUCAGGUUUUUUAAAGCCAAAAAUGAUUAAAUUAGCAAAGUUUACCUUUAAAAUUUUACUUACUAACUUUUUCUUCCUUUUGUCAUCUCCUAAAGUACAAAUUAAUUCAAGCUGAUACAAAAUAUCACUAGAAUUUAGGAAAAUGGUUGUAUUUUGGAAUCCUACAUAGUGAAUAUGUGAUAAUUCACUUUAACCCCCAGAAAAAACAACACUGGCCAGUUGCUAUAAACCUCCAGAUUAGCAUACACACACACACACACACACACACACACACACACAUUCCCCUAUUAGAUGAAACUUACUCUGUAUCAUAAGCAGACUUGAAAAUGACAUCCCCACAUCCUCCAACUAUUAUUUAUAUCCCAUUUAUUCAGUAGAAAUUCCAUAACACAGAAAACUCUUACACAGGGUUGAUAAGAAUUUGAGACUAGAUGUUCCAAGAAUCCUUGUAAGUUUAUAAAGGAGGCUUUCACAAAGUAUUUUCUUUGUCCAUUUACCAAUUUUCUCUUUUAAAAAAUACAUAUGGAAAUACUUGAUAUAUUUUUAACUAGAUUUUUUGAAAUUAUUGUCAUAAUGUUAACAAUCUCAUAAUUUUCCUAAGUGAUAGCUAAAUGAUUUUAGGUAAACCUUCCUUUUAAAUACAGGCAAAACUCGGAAGUUUAAGUUCUUGAUUAUGUUGCUUCAAAAUAUUACGGCACAGGUUCUGCAGGACUGAUUAAAUGAUCUGACGGUUUUCAAACUCUAGCCUUCUUUUAACAGUACAAUCUCUAGUCUAACAACAUCCAAAGGUCUAAAAGAAAUUACUUUUCUAACUGCAUCUGAUACAAUCAUUUGCCAAAUUUCCAUAGUAUAAAUAUUGAGGAGCCGUAAUCAGGAUUACCCAGGACUUAGCAACUUCCAUAUUAAAAGACCAGAGAGCCUAGAACUACCCAACAAAACUAAGCAUUAUCAUUCGGGGUGGGGGAGAGAAGGAUGGACGAUCAAUGAAAUAGAGAAUUUUCAAUCAUUUCUAAUGAAAAGAAAAUUUGAUCUUGAAAUAUGUGACUCAAGAGAAUCAUAAGAAAGUAAAAAGGGAAGGGAAGAAAAAUGGUUUUUAAAGGUUAAAAUGUUUAUUUCCCUACAUGGGAAGAUGAUAUUUGUAAUUCUUGAGAACUGUAUUUUGUCAAGGCAGUUAGAAGAGGUAUAUACUUAGAGGGUGUAACUAUAAGUUACAAGGAAUUAGAGGUAGAAAGGAUUGUAUUGGGAGAAGAGGAAGGGAGAUGUAAAAUAGGAUAAAUUAUAUCACACGAAGAGGCACAAAAAAUCUAUUACAGUAGAGGGAAAGAAGGGGGGGAGUGAAAAUUGUUUGAACAUUAUCAUCAUUGGAUUUAGCAAAAAGGGAAUAACAUAUGCACCCAGUUGGGUAUAGAUAUCUUUUUUUUUACCCUAUAGGGAAGGAGGAGAUGAAGGGGGGAAAGGGGGUGGGGCUUAUAGAAGGGAGGGCAAAUGAAUGGAGGCAGUGGUGAGAAGGAAAACACAGGUGAGAAGGGACAGGGUAAAAGAAGAGAGAAAAGUAUAAACGGAGAAAAUACACAGUGAAUGAUUGUGACUAUGAAUGAGAUGACAUCUCCCCCCAAAAAAAUUAAAAACAAAAAUAAAAACCAGAACAUCUCCCUUUGAAGUAGACAUAUACACACAUGCACACACAAGAUAACAAACUGAAACAUUAUAUUAUGCUUCAGCUGAAAUUAAAAAAAGCAAGGGAAGCAGUUAUGAUCUCAGGCAAAGCAAAAACAAAAAAUAGAUCUAAUUAAAAGAGACAAGGAAAGAAACUCUUUCUAAAAAGCCCAACAGGCCAGGGCUUUUAAAACUUUUUCUACUCUUGAUCCCCUUUCACCUGAGAAAUUUUUACAUGGCAUAUAUAAAAUAGGUAUACAGAUCAAACAUUUACUGAUAGUAAGCCAUAAUUUCAUGACACUCCCCCCCAUUCAGUUACAAGACCCCACACGGAGUCUUAUAAAGGGGAGGUAAAAUGAAGUAAAUUACAACACAUGAAGAAACACAAAAGACCUGCUACAGUAGAGGAAAAGGGAAAGGAAGGAGCAUUGUUUGAACUUUACUCUCAUUGGAUUUGUCUCAGAGAGAAUAAAAAACAAGAAAAAAUUUAGCCUAGAAGCUCUCAAAAAGGUAAGGUUUGUUUUCUUUUGUAACAGCUCCUGGCCUCAGUAUACCCUGGAGGAUCUGGAGAUAUGGGGCUCUAAACUAGUAAUACUAACUUAACCAUUUGAUCUAUUUUGCUGCCUAGAAAGCAAAUGGACUGAUUGAAGUUCUAUACAUCCAGGCCUUCAAGGCCUUAUGUCAAGAUCCUAAUUCAAGACAACAGUGUAGGAUGUUCCUGGUUAAGUUUAGUACAAGGGAAUUGAAGAUGGAGAAUGAGACUGACCUAGAUAAUUCUCUACUCUCCCCCAUUCAGGGGAUGCCCCCCCUCGCCCUACCAGGAGACCUGGGACCAUCUCCCAUAUCAGGAUCUGGACUCUGUUCAACAAUAUUUCCCCCACUGCCCAGUCCUCUUCCUGUGGGUCCCUCGCAUGCUGAGCCAGAUUUUACAACCUCCCAGUCUCUGCCAUAUAAAGGAGUGGGACCCCUUUUCUUCCUUCUGAAGACCCUGACUUAGACAUCCCUUUUAAACUCUGCCCAUUGAGAGAAGUAGCAGACUCUCAGGGUUAAACACUCAGGGUACAUGUCCCUUUUUCAAUGCCAGAUCUUUCCCAAAUUAAAAACUUGAGCAUUAUUCUGAAGGUUCCACUAAGUUUACCGAGGGCUUUAAAACCAUCUCCUUCCAAUUUGAUCUUACUUGAGGAGAUGUUAAAAUCAUUAUCUCCUCCUGCUGCACAACAGAAGAGAAAAGAGGAAUCUGGGAUUUAGCCCAAAAGUCUGGCAAUGGUAUGAACGAAUCUUCUUCUGAUAGAUAGAUACCCCCCAGGAGCUAUUGCUGUCCCAGGUGCAGACUCCAGGUGGGAUUACCAAAAGAGAAUCAGAGACCAGAAAGAAGGGAGCACAUGCUGAGCUGCUUCACUGAUACUAUGAGGAAAGGGAAUUAAGCAGCUUAAUUAUGAGAAAUUUAAGGAAGUUAACCAGAGAGCCAAGGAAAGACCUGCCUUCUUUCAGGGAUGAUUUAUAGAGGCUCUUAAGAAAUAUGCUGAGGUGGACCCCACGUUUAGGAACCAUGUCCUCAGUGUGGCCAGGAUGUCUAGAGGAAGCUGUACCAGUUUAACCAUGGGUCCUCAAAUUCUCCUGGUCCAGCUUUGGGAAAGAAGUUUGGGAUUUUUUAAUGAGAGACCAAGCUGCAGCCAAGGAAUAGGACCUCAGGAGUAGGGCUAGGAAUAGAGAACAGGCUCAGAUUUUGGCUGCCACCAUAUAUGGGACCCAGAGGAAUCUACGUGUGGAGGCUUGUUUCCCAUGCCAGAGUCGGAGCCAUUGAUCUCGAAGCUGUCCUCAAAGGAAGACUCCUGAUCCAUGCCCCUGGGAGGGGCACUGGAAAAGAGACUGCCCACAGAGGGGUCGAGCCACUUCUCGUUUCCUGCUUCUCCAUCUCCUCAGGACCAGGAAUCACAGGGCCCAGGAUUUGGCAAGGCUCCCCCUUACUUCAUCACCAUGGCCGAACCAUGGGUAAUUUUGGAUGCGGCAGAUGGAUCAAUCUAGCAGACUCCUGACUAUGAAAAGAAAACCAGAAACAGGACCCAGCCAACGAGAUUGUGUCAACAUGAUAUUCAAAACUAGGAGGCACAGAGGGAACAGGGGCUGCCUGCCUGGGCCCGACAAACAGCACUGGAGUUGACGGAGCACCUCUCUCUUUUCCUGGUCCAAAGAACAGAUCACAUGACCAAUGAGAUCUUUUCCAUCUAUCUGGCCCUAGAAGCCAUAGUGCUUGCUGCUUCUAAAAGAUCACCAGGAGAAGAGACCAAACUAGCAAAUCCACCGGGGGAGAUUCUCUCUCCCUCCCUUUGCCUUGGCUGUCAAGACUAUGAUGAGGAGAUAAGGUGAGCAUCAUGUUCUCUCUCUAUGGGUCCAUGAAUAAGAACCAAAAUGAAGAGAUAAUAUUUUAAAAAAACAUGAUCAUAUCAGAAGACAAACCAUUGAAAGGCAUUGGGAUAAUCC
This is a long non-coding RNA of Antechinus flavipes (yellow-footed antechinus), 6293 nucleotides long. RefSeq lists it as uncharacterized. The transcript is spliced from 5 exons. Lineage: Eukaryota; Metazoa; Chordata; Mammalia; Dasyuromorphia; Dasyuridae. The record is from RefSeq and is a predicted model, not a curated record.